GACGAACGCUGGCGGCGUGCCUAAUACAUGCAAGUUGAGCGCUGAAGGUUGGUACUUGUACCAACUGGAUGAGCAGCGAACGGGUGAGUAACGCGUGGGGAAUCUGCCUUUGAGCGGGGGACAACAUUUGGAAACGAAUGCUAAUACCGCAUAAAAACUUUAAACACAAGUUUUAAGUUUGAAAGAUGCAAUUGCAUCACUCAAAGAUGAUCCCGCGUUGUAUUAGCUAGUUGGUGAGGUAAAGGCUCACCAAGGCGAUGAUACAUAGCCGACCUGAGAGGGUGAUCGGCCACAUUGGGACUGAGACACGGCCCAAACUCCUACGGGAGGCAGCAGGAGGGAAUCUUCGGCAAUGGACGAAAGUCUGACCGAGCAACGCCGCGUGAGUGAAGAAGGGUUUCGGAUCGUAAAACUCGGUUGGUAGAGAAGAACGUUGGUGAGAGUGGAAAGCUCAUCAAGUGACGGUAACUACCCAGAAAGGGACGGCUAACUACGUG
Molecule: ribosomal RNA, 497 nt
Filed under: uncultured bacterium
Lineage: Bacteria
Description: partial 16S ribosomal RNA
Rfam family: Bacterial small subunit ribosomal RNA
Source: RNAcentral